UUUGGAACAAGUUGUCAUAGGAUAAAUUAUUCCGAGAUAAGUUAAAAUUUUACCUCAAUCAAACAUAAGAUAAAUUCAUCCUAACAAUAACAUACCUAGCAUAACUAAGGUCUAAAAAGGGUAGUGUGUACAUAGACGUUACCAAUACCUCAGGGACGUAGAGAGGCUAUUUCAAGAGACCUUUUGCUCAAGUGCACCUAGCUAGUAAAAUUUAAUGAGUUACUUCAAGUGUAUGACACAUUUUUGUGCACUGUAAUCUGUAGUUUGAUGAGAAUUUAGAUAAACGAACUACAUUGAUCAAGUGUCUUGCAUCUACUGGCAAUGAGAAAUGACUUGUACAUAUUGGAAAAUUUUUGUUCACAACAAUAAAACAUCAAGUGCACUGUUCUUUCAAUCACCAUCUUUUUACCAAUAAUGUCAGCAACUGCAAUAAAAAGAUAUAUUUCUUAAUAAUUUAAGAUAUAACAAGCAAUCUUGAUAAGAAUCAAGUUUGUCCGUUUGUUCUUGAUAAAAUAUAACAACAACUACACUUCUUUACUUUUUUCCUUUUGUUCCUCUCUUUGGUGAAGUCAAGAAUCUGAAUAUUUUCUAUUAGGUUAAGACAAUUUCUAGUUUGUGCAAGAACAACCCAAAAAUGAGUAAUUAAAUGCUACUAUUAUUUAAGUCACUCAUUGAUAAGAUGGUAGGAAGAGUUACAAGCUGGACGACAAGGUUCCUACAUUAAACACAUUUCUUGACCAUAUAUCAAUGCACAUUAACCAUCAAUAAACAAUAACCUUUAAAUAAGAAACCAUUUUCUUCCUCUCUUUAAGAGACCGCAGUGCACAUUCACGUCACAUAAAAAUAGUCCUUCCAAAAUCUAAUUGAUCCACCUCAUAUUUCUCUAAUCUAGCACAAUAUAAUAAUAACCCUCAAACAAAACACAACAAUAACCUAAGUUGAAAACUAGUAGCUUCUAAUUAGGAAAAAAGUUAAUCCAAUAACCUUUAAAUUAAUAUAGAAAACUAAAACACUGUUAAUAAACAACAACAAUAACAUAUGCAAUGUAAUACUAAUCUCACUAAAAUCAUAUGUCACAUACAAUACCUUAACAAUAUACAAUACAAGCAAUUCCACUAGGAUUACCUGUCCCUACCAACACCAUAUCAAUACACAAUAUAAGCAAUACCAUGAUGAAAAUUAGUAACCAAGCAUGUCUGAUGUUAAUAACAAAUAAAUGAUCCAAAUAGUCAACAAGACCCUUAACAUGUCCAGUAAGCACAUCAUACUUGCAACAAAAAAAAUCUCAUCAAGAAAGACCCAAAAUAGCCAAAGGACAACUAUCUACAGUGACAAAAAUAGUCACCAAAAUAGACCAAAAAUAAUAGACCUAAAAUAGAGAAAGAAGUACUAUCUAUAACAGACAAAAAUAGUCCAAAACCUAAAACAGCCCCUAAAACAAACUCAAAAUAGACUAUCCUCUUCUUACCCUUAACUUUCUAGCCCUUUGUGUUUGUAACUUAUUGGUAGUAAAUGCAUCUUUCCCCUUCUAAUUUAAUCCAUUUGGUGAUAUUGGAAGGUUAGUUGGUUCACUAACACCAUAUUCUAACACCUCUGAAGCAUAUAACUCUACUCUAGUUGGUUGUUAUGGUCUUUGUCUUCUUUUUAGUCAUUGUACAUAAGCUUGUUCAGAUUCUAUUCUAACCAUUAGAAGAGGGUUUUCAUCAUCUUUCUCAAAGUCAUGCUAAAUUUUGUUUGGUCGGGUCGGGGGAUGCCAAGUUGAUGUCCUCUUCAUCAGGUUCCUCUUCAUCAAUUAAUCUACUCCUAGGCUGCUACAUCUCCCUUCCCCAAACAAUAGGUUAUUUUUUCUUAGCAGCAGCUUGCUUUGAUUGCUUUAUCAUAACACAAAAAAUAAUAAUUAUUAAUUCUAAUUAUAUAAAAGUGUAUUAAAUACAACGUAUAAUUAAAUUACGUUUCCACAACCUCUUGAAUUAUGAUUUCUCAGAAAAGGACUAUAUAGCCCACCACAAAAGCUUCUUCAAGUCAUUUUUACCCCAAAUCCUACACCAAUUUGUCUCAACAUGCCUUACACAAUAUCUAUGAUGUACUUUAGGAAGAAUAUUCCUUAUUGCAUCAACCAUCCCCUAAACAAUGCAUGAAAAUAAAUACAUAUCACUAAAUAUCAUUAUCAACAUAUAAAUUAAGUAAAUCAAUGAUAUUAGUAAAGAUUGUUACCUUAUGCAUGUCUAAUAUGAAUGUUAUUCCUUUACCAUUUUGAAGUUCAAGCUAAUUGUGAAAAUAUUGUAUGAACCAAGUCCAAGUCUUUUUGGUCUCUUUGUCUAUCUCAACCCAUGCUAUAGGAUAGAAAUAUUUCAUACUAUCUUAUUCAUCUAAACAUCAUUUCAUUAUCACAUUCAUUAUCACUACAAUCUAUUUCAGCUUCAUCAACUAUUGGUACUGGUAAAAAUAAAUUACUAUGUAUAACAAUGUCAAGUACAUCAAUAGGUAACUCACCAUCAUCAAUAGCAAGCAAGUGAAUGAUUUGGAAAUACUCAGAUACAAAAGAUAAUAAUGUCAUAAUUCCUUCAUCUCCUUGAAUUUUAAAAUAUUUCCCAGAAGGACCAAGUAUAAUAAGUUGUUAGACACUUAAAAAACACAACUUACUUGUGUACUCAUUCUCUAAGUCAAUAAACAAGAGGAGAUCAAGAUCAUAUCCAUCCUAACAGUGGACCCAUCCAUUCUCAUAAUCUAUUUUUGGAUGCUUAUCCUAAUCACCACCAUGAAAAAGUGUAUGCUAAAAUUUAUCAUUUUAAUGACCUAUAAAGAGUCGAACAUCAUUAUUGAAUAACACUCACCAAAACAUACCCAAAAUAGACCUAAAACAAGCUCAAAAUAUCCUUAAAAUAGAGCUAGAUAGACAAAAACAUAAAAAAUAGACCCAAAAUAAAUCCAAAAAAGUCCCAAAACAAUAUGAUAAAUGUAACAUAUUAGUCGCUUAAUACAUUACAUUAAGCAAAUAGUUAUAUAACAUGUUAGUAGCUUAUUAUUAAGUUUUCAGUUCUCAAUCAUGCAUAUGAAUUAUAAGAAGUUGAAAGGGUAAUUAUUUUUCACCUUAAGUCUUUUCUAAUAGGAUAUAUCUGAACUGCAUAGCGGCAGGCAGGCCUAAAUAAAUUCAAAAUAGACCCAAACUAAGUCAAAACAUACACAAACAGGCUGGAAAGUAAUUACAUCACUAAACAAAAAGUAAGUACCAUAUUAUGUGAAUUAUAAACCUAAAGUAGGCUCAAAACAUACCAAAAUAAUACAACACAUAAAAUAGACCCAAAAUUAAGUAAUUGCAUCACUUGGUAACUUAAUAGACUAAAAUAGUCCCAAAAUGGGCUCAAACUAAACCCAAAAAAAUAAAACACAUAAAACAACUACAAAAUCAAGUAAUUGUAUCACUAGGUAACUUAAAAAGCCUAAAACAUGCCCAAAAUAAAUACAAAAUAGACCUAAACUAUUUCUAAACAUACACAAAUAGGCUGAAAAGUAAUUACACAACUAAAAAAAGUAAGUAUAAUAUUAUGUGACAUAAUAGACCUAAAAAGGACUCAAAACAGACCCAAAUAGAUACAACACACAAAAUAGAACCAAAAUUACGUAACUCCAUCACUAGAUAACUUAAUAGACCUAAAACAGGCCCAAAAUAAACCAAAAAUUGAUGCAAACUAUGUCAAAACAUACACAAAUAGGCUGAACAGUAACUGUACAACUAAACAAAAAGUAAGUACAACAUUAUGUGACUUAAUAACCUAAAAUAGGCUCAAAACAAACCUAAAACAAGCUCAAACCAGACCUAAACAGGCCCAAAAUAGCUCAAACAAAACUAAAAAGAUACAAUACACAAAGUAGAUAAAAAGAAAUUACAUAAUUGGAUCACUAGGUAACUUAAUAGGCCUAAAAACACUAAAAAUAAAUUCAAAAUAGACCCCUACUUAAUAGGCUUAAAAACACUAAAAAUAAAUUACAUUCUACCUUCGCUUGUUUGUCUUGCUGGAACUUAAGUUCUAUUUCUUUAAGAGAUUCUCAACCUCAGGGAUUUUGUCAGAAGACUCUUGUGAAACUGUAAGACCAGAUAUCAAUACUGUGUUCUUAAUCAUAUCUUUAUUUACUUGAAACCGUCUGCUAUUUGGUUUCUUUAAACUAUGUGUUAAGAACUGUGACUUCUAUCAAGUCCACAUACAUAGUUUAUUGAAGGUUAUUGGAGUCCUAAAUAUAACUUACCUUUUGUAAAUUCCGAUUGUUUCUUGGGCCUUUUACUAAUGAUAUGGUCCUGAAUCCUUAGGCUUGAACUUUUGGUUAUUUAAUUUAACAAUGUCACUUUUUGAAGCCUAAAUUUUGAAACCGCCUAGUUAUGUUUUUAUUAAAGUGAUUUUUGAUCAUAUUAUUCUAAAACUCUUCUCUAUUAUUUAUAUUCUUGCUAAACAUAAGCAUAAAACCAAUUGCGUAACUACUCCAUGGUUUAGGAUAUAUCGAUAGUACCCUACCUUGUUUAUUUCUUUUAGAGGGCCAACUCUUUUUAUCUAACUCGUUUGCCAUUAUUUUCUUGAAGCUUGUAAUUCAUAUUUGAAGAUCUUUUAUGCAAGGAUUUAUCAAAUAAUAAAUUUAUUAGACCCCUAUCUAAUACUCUUGUUUCUUCCAUCUUGCGGAUUAUGUAAGCUUCAUGUUUGUUCUCUAUAAUCUUUUUAUGGAGUUGUCGUUCCAUAUUUCACACUUUUCCUAUUGUUUAUUUCAUGCUUGUCCUAGAAAAUAAGAUAAGUAUUUUGGUUAUAAAUCACUCAAAAUCAUUCAGGCAAAAAAGUUCUUUUCUCUCUAGUUAAAUUCUGCUUAGUUCUAACAGUAACACUAUAAUUUACUCUGGUAUUUGAAUGGUAAUGCACUAGAAGGUCAAGUGCCCAAGGAACUUCUUUCCAUUGGGGUCCAUGGUGGAGCUAUUGAGUAUGUCAUUCUCUAUUUCUAGCUAAAGUUUUCCUUCAGUAGAUUUUAUAUUCUUCUUUGGUAGAUUUUUAAUUUUUAAUAGACCUAAAAUAGGUUCAAACCAAACCUAAAAAGCCUUAAACCGGACCCAAAAAUGCCCAAAACAGCUCAAACCAGACCCAAAUAGAUACAUCACACAAAAUAGAUCCAAAAUUAUGUAAUUGCAUUACUAGGUAACUUUAUAGACCUAAAAUAGACCCAAAAAUAAAUAAAAAAUAGACCCAACUACGUCAAAACAUACACAAAUAGGCUGAAAAGUUAUUAUAUAACUAAAUAAAAGGUAUCCAAAAAAAUGUUAGAAUAUAUUCCAAAUGUCUUUAAAGAAGUCACCCACAAAAAAAAGGUAUAAGUGGAUUUAAUUUUUGUUUUGCAGUAUCCAAGUUCCUACAUCAUAUUAAUUUCUUCAAUACUACUAAGACAUUAUUGUCAACUAUUAGUAUCUAAAAAAUAACACUUAAACACUAUGCUCUUCCUUGUACAAGUACACCAUUUGUCACAUACUCUAUGUCCUAGCACAACAUGGGACAAUUAUCUAGAUAAAACAUUCUUUAAAAAUACAUUUUCCAUGAGAAAUUUCUUUUCCCUGUACCCAAAACACCAUGGAUUACUUUCUCUAUCAAAAGAUUUGUCCUUAAUGUAUUAACCAUACAAAUAAAACAACUAUCAUAUUAACUAUGAAAUUUGAACCACCGAAAAACAACAACAACGCCAUGCUCUUAGAUUAGAUAAAGCAAAAUAAAAUAAUUCAUCAGUGUAUAAUUUAGAGUAAGUAGUACUUCUUGAACCAGAGAUCUAUCUAAAGUAAGUAAGAUAAAAAUUAAAAAAAGUAAUAGCUAAUAUUAAUAACAAAUUAAUUUUUUAUCCUAGCAUGUUUAAAGUAGAUCCACAAUUAGACUUUAUUUAGAGACCACAAAAAAUAAUAAAGAAUCAAGGGGCCCCUUCAUAAAGUCAAGUCUCGAAACACAUGAAAAUGAUACUAUUUCCCCUUUUUGUAUAUAAACACUUCAAGAAGGGACCACAUAUUUAUGCACAAACAAACAAGACAAUGAAAUAUUUGUGUAACUCCGUGAAAAAAUUUCUAACAAUAAUUUUGUGUGUUUUUUUCUCUAAACAUAAAAGUGAAUUCACAAAAAAAGUUGAAGAAAUGAAUAUGACACCCCAAACAUACCUAUAAAAAUCCAUAACCAAGAAAUAUUCUUGAAAAGUAGGACAUUUUUUUAACAUAAAAUUGCAUAAACCCCAAAGAAAUAUAUACAAAAAAAAUCAAAGUAAAACCCAGAAGAAAUACAAAAAAUUCUAAAAUCGAAAAAAUAUAUUUGUAAAAAUCAAAAAAUCGACAAACCACUUACAAUCAAACCCAAAAAAGAUUCUCUAGAUCUUCCAAUUUAAACAACACAAAGCAAAAUAAGAAGACAAUCAAAUAAAAUAUCGUAGAUAGAGAAGAAACAUACAUGCAAGAUCUGUAAUAGAUUCUCUACGGUAGAUGGAGAAGAAAUACAAACUGAAUCGACAAUUGUUUAUGGAUUUUAUAAGUAAGAGAGUGAUACUGUCAAAGAAUGGGAGAAUGAACAGACGUGUUCUAUUCACGCAUCUGAUGUUUUAAAUGUUAUA
RNAcentral lists this long non-coding RNA (6609 nucleotides) under Capsicum annuum. RNAcentral's name for it is "long non-coding RNA (CANN_LNC013883)". The record is from RNAcentral. Lineage: Eukaryota; Viridiplantae; Streptophyta; Magnoliopsida; Solanales; Solanaceae.